UCUCUCUCUAAAAUCGCUGCAGAAAUGGCGAUUCACUCCAAAACUUGAGUGAAUCCCUGGUUUUGAUUGCAAACAGUUGCUCAGUGCAUUACGCUGGUAGUGUAUAUGGUUUUUAACCUUGAUUCGUGAAGAUUUGCAACCAAAGAAUCAUACUGCUUGUAGGACGUCAGUGGUUUUCUUACAAGAUUUCGUCACCAUGUACUCGGCGAUCAUGAGGAAAUAUGUGAAGAAUCCAGUUAGGAGCUUUAGGGUUGAAGAAUCUGAUACAAAUAAGGUUAGGUUUUUUUGAUAACAUAAGUGUGAAUUCUGGUGGAUUGGAAGGUUUCAGUGAUACAGUUCAUGCUGCAUACCAGUUACCACCUAUUAAGAAGGUUAAUUUGACAUGGUUCAGUGACCCAGACCAUUUCUAUAUUGGUAGUAAUGAUGAAUUCUUUGAAAUGUGGGAUCAGGGAGUGGUUGAAGAUGAUGGGUAUAUUCAUCUUUACAUGAAUGUUACCAAAAGAAAAGUUCCUCUUAGUGAUAAAUGCCCUUCAUCUUCUUGUCUGUCAGUUUCAAAGAGUCUUUUUUCAACACCUGAGAAGGUGCAGAGUACAUCAAGAAUUCACAUUGAAAGAGGUGCAGCACCAGUCAGUAUUGACCCAUCUCUUUUUUUUAACACCUAAGAAGAGAAUCAUAUAUAGUAAAUCUCCUGAGCUACUAAGAAGAAGUCUUAGGAUGGUGCAGAAGUCAAUUGCUGCAGUCACUGGUAGUGUGAAUGGUAAGAAGUUAUUUGUUAAUGUGGAUGAUGAUGACACUGGAGUUGAAGAAAUAUCAGUUGAAUCAUGACAGGCUGAGUUGGAGUAUGAAAACAUACAACUCACAAAUACUGAAGAAGAUAUGUGUCAUCCCAUUGAUGACUGUAGAAGUCCAGUUGCCGAUGAUGCAGAAAUGGGUAUAGAAGUGUACACUGAGUUUGUGAACAACUACUUUGGGAGAUUAGACUCUUUUGAUUACUUACAUACACAACUAUAUAAGAAAAAUGGAAAUGCAGAUGAAGGCCACAAUGACAACAAUUGUGGUGUUGGUGAAGAGUGUGACCCAAAGCAAUGGUCUAGGGCCUUCUAUGACCAAUCUACUGCAUCUGAGCACACCAACAACAACUUCUGUGAGUCCUUCAACAACAUGGCUGGCCUAAUGAGAGACAAGCCCAUUUGUACUCUUGGAAUGAUGUAUGGUCAACUCAUUAUGGUAUGUUUUACAAGAGAAGAGCUGAGGCUGAUAAGUUGGAGCUUGGAACCUUGGUGCUAGAAGUUAUGAAGUUGAUAAAGAAGAUGGAGAAAUGCACAGCUCACCUGAGACCAAAUGGAGCAGUAUAUGGCAAGUUAUACGAGGUGAAGAACAUUGAAACUAAUGCUCUGUUUCAAGUUGAUAUUGUUGACAAGACUUGCAGUUGCAUUCAGUGGCAACUUAGAGGAAUCCCUUGCAUACAUGCUGUAUGUGUUUUGAUGGAUAUGAGAAUCAAUUGGGUUGAUUAUUGUGACAAGUGCUAUCUGGUUGAUGCUUUGAGAGCAACUUAUGCUCCUGAGAUGGGUUUAUUACUGGGCAGAGAAGACUGGGAUGAGGCUUAGUUAUGAGACCUCCUAUUGAUAUCAGAAAACCAGGGAGACCAUGUAAGAAAAGAAAGAGAGCUUAUGAUGAAGGUCACACUGAGAAGAAGGUUAGAAGUUGUACAAGGUGUAAGACAAUUGGGAACAACAUGAGAACAUGUGCUGGUGCACCUGUUGGAUCUAAUCCAAAAUCUAAUAGGCAAAGAACUAUGGUUGAAGGAGAAUCUCACUAUACUUCUUAUCCAGAUCCACAUGAUCUUAGUACCAGUAGGAGAGGCAUAAAGGAAACAAGAGGAAGAGGAGCUGCUUCAACAUCUACUACUGCUGCAUCAUCAUCUCAACCUACAGAUAGUGCUGCUGCUGCUGCAUCAUCAUCAACAAAUGCAGGAGGUAGAGGUUCAACAGGUACUAGAGGCACAAGAGGUGGUAUAUGAUAAAGAGGUGGUAGAGGCAGAUCUAGCAGUAUAGCACAGGUGCAUCAAACACUGUCACAUAGCAUUGCAGGUGUUGGUGGGAUGAGUCAAACACUAACUCAAACUUUCACAGUGCCAAAGAUUACAGUUCUUGCUGCUGCUACUCAAUAAGUCAUUUGGUUCUUGAUUAUGGUUCUUCCAUGGACACAAUUUAUGUUAUUAAACUAGACUACUUCUUUUGUUACUGCACCUGUUUUCAGAAGUAUGGAUGUUAUUUUAUGUUAUGUUAUGGUGAUAAUGUUAAUAUUCUAAGCUAUGUUAAUAUUCUAGAUUAUUUUGAUGUUUUCAGACAACAUGAAAUUUUCUUUUUAUUUAAAUUGUAGCUCAUUACAUUUGUAGAUCUCCUAUUUCUUUGCAUAAUUCUGCCAUCUUCAGGGAUGUUUGUUUUACAUUGGAUUUUGCUGCAUUGAAGACAACAACAGAUAGCCAUUGAAAAUCAAGACAGUUGGAGCAUUUGAGGGUUGUUGCUUCCAUGGAUAGUUGUUGAGCAUAUGGCUCUUGUCACCACAAGAAAAGAAGGAAUGUGGAGUUGGGAGUUGCACUUUCAUUGCUCUUUUUUGGUUUUUUGGCAUCUGCAAACCACUCAAAGUAUGAGCAUACUGAGCAUCUCAAGAACUUCUCAGCAAAAUGAUCUUCAGUUUGAGCUUUCAACAGCUUUCUCACUCCACAGCAAGGUAUAUAAAGAAGAGUGAAAAUCAUACCGUUGGGAACGGUCUGAUUUUCUGGCCACUAGUUUACUGCCACGUCACUAGAUUUCCACGUCACGGGGUAACAAACCACGUCAGUUUAGGUUAACUCCGGUUAAAAAGGGUUGGAUUAGGUUUGAGGGCAUUUUGGAGACAUUUGACACCGUUUUUUUCUAAAACUGUUAUGUCGCCCCAUGUAUGACUCUUCUGUAACUGAUUUAUAAAGUAUGAUCAAUUUGUAACCAGAUUAACAAAAGUAUGACCUUUUUGUAAUUGGCCUUUUUUUU
Molecule: long non-coding RNA, 3032 nt
Organism: Papaver somniferum (opium poppy)
Lineage: Eukaryota; Viridiplantae; Streptophyta; Magnoliopsida; Ranunculales; Papaveraceae
Exons: 7
Source: RefSeq, a predicted model, not a curated record